Molecule: long non-coding RNA, 1139 nt
Organism: Camponotus floridanus (Florida carpenter ant)
Lineage: Eukaryota; Metazoa; Arthropoda; Insecta; Hymenoptera; Formicidae
Exons: 3
Source: RefSeq, a predicted model, not a curated record
AGAAGCGUCUUAUAAAAAUCGUUUUUCACUUGUAAAGCAAAAUGUCGAAAUUGAACGAACUUCGUCGUUUGUGCAUUUAGAAAUUUAUUGUCUUGCGGUGAGAUGUAUCGAGCGAAUAAUCAAGAAGGGUAGAACAUGAUUCGUCCUCGCGGUCGGCAGCUUUCCAUCGGGUCGCCAUCAACGAGCAGGCUCGCGGGCAUGACAGAUAUGGUGUACACAUUGCGCCCAGGAAAUUUCGUAUUUUCGCAGCUAAUGACUGAGGAACGAGACGGAUCCACCAAGAAAUGUACAAUAAACAAGUGGCUUCUGGCGGCGAUAACGCCGUAAUUAACACUUCAACCAGUGUGCCGUGCAAUCUCGCCGGAUAUGUUUCGCGCGGAAAGGUGUACCGGAGCUGCUAUAAUAUCCAUGAAAAACGCUUGUUCAGAACCGGAACGACCGUCGAGACCUGGAAACGUCCCGAAGCGCGGAGCUAGUGACAGCAAAGGCGGCGAGCGCAAUAACGGAUAAGCGGAGCAAUCGGACAGUUUGUGAGCGGCCUCUGCUCCUGAUGGGCUGGACGAUGGAGAGACACGGCUGUAGGGAGACGGUAUAUUUAUAAUGACCCUAUAUGUAUGCAAAUGGCCGCAUAUCGUACGCUUCUAUUCCGCUCGCAUCGCUCGCAUUCACACGUGAGAGAAAGAGAGAAAGAGGGGGGGAAGAGAGAGAAAGAGAAAGAGAGAGAGAGAAAGAGAGAGAGAGAACUCCGAUCCACGCGUCAUCUCCGCUUCUCUAUAUAUGACCUUCUCUUUCUCUCUCUCUCUCUCUCUCUUUUGCAUUUUCCGAAUCCGCGAACGUAUUCACGUACGCGCUUGUGCACGUAUAUCGAGAUCGCGUGUGCAAUUACGAACACAUAGAGGCGAAACGUGGGAUGAAAAUGCAUCGAUUGUGCGUAAACGUGAGUCAACGCAAUUCCGCGAGAGACCGCGGCACAAUUUUGCAGUUAACCAAGUCUUUUUGGCCAUUAUACACGAACUCACAGCAUAUUCUAGAUGCGACAGAUCGUUUCCCGAAGCGAGAGCGUUCUAACUUGAGAGCAAAUCUAGUAUAACUUUCUGUAGGUGUCUGCCUAAAGAUAGAAGACGACGUAUGAUUCUAUU